CGCUCCUUUUCCCCCGGGCUCCCCACAGCUGGGCAGUUGCUUCCCCCUUUCUUCCUUAGCUCCUCACAACUCGGCGUCCUUUCCCCCUUCUCCCCGAGUACCCCACAACUCCUCAGCCCUUGCCCCCCUUCUCUCUGGGCUCCCCAGAGCUGGGAGCCACCGUUCCCCCCAGAGCUUCCCACAGCUGGGCAGCCUCUACCUCACACCUAGCAGAGCACCCCACAGCCUCCAGCCUCUGGCACAGCUGGGGGUAGCUUCUGACUCUCCCCCAGCAGGGCAGCUCCCCCAAACAUACACACAGCAGGGCAGCCUCUGCCUUGCUCUCCCCACAUCCCCUGUAGGUCAGCCACACUUGUACAGCUGAGCAGCUGCAGACUCCCCCUGCCACAGCAGCUUUGUCCCUGCUGUAUACAGCUGGGAGCCCCUGGCCCCCUACCUACCACCUAGUCAUUAAUGUGUGUGUGUCUGAGAGCAGGGCUCUGCAGAGUCAGGCAGUAGGUGACUCCAGGUGGCCAGGAUGUGCCGUGUGUAGGGUUGUGGGAUGAUCCCCGACUCUCAUUGUUUUGUCCCUCUGACAAGGAUACUGGGUGCUGAGUUGGGGGCAAUUUGCUGCUGAGUGGCCUACCCCUGCUCCCAUGCAGUCCUGUUCUCCCCCCCCCCCACCUCCUUGUACAGCUGAGCAGCAACACUCCCCCCCCCAUACACCUCUGUACAGCUCUCCUGCACAGACACUGCUCCUUCUGCUCCCUAACAACCCCCUUUUCUCCUCCAGCAAAUUCAUAAUCAGAAUGAUCGGCUGAGAUGACAAGACCUAGCAGUGCUGGCAACAGGCACCCUCUAGAGAGCGCCGAGGGGGCUGCAGCUCCUGCCUCCUGAACAGUCCAGGGACAUUGAUGGCUGUUCCCCGUCCUCAGGCAGCAAGGGGAAUUUCAUUUUUCACUCUGGGAAGCACAGAGGGCAGACGAACUUGAACCUUCCCCAGCUGGUGAACAUCCAGCCGUCCUCUGGCUCUGCCUGCGAGAGUUGCAGUAGCCAUGGACAUAAGAACUGCCAUGCUGAGUCAGUCCAAAAGUUCAUCUAGCCCAGUAUCCGGUUUGCCGACAAUGGCAAUGCCAGAUGCCCAGGAGGAAGUGAACACAAAAGGAGAGUAGUGUUACAUCUCUGAAGAAAUGCUGCAUUGGGGAUGGAAGUUCUUUUGGGAAAAGCUUCUGCGAACAAAUGAGUUUGCUUUCUGCCUAGCGCUAUCUCUAACAAGAGAUUCUUGGGGUACGUUUCUCCAUGGGAAGCAGGUGUUUGUGUCCUGGGCUGAGUUUUCUGAAGAGGGGAUUGCCUGUUUCCUAUUUGUGACUGCUUCUGCUCCAAGACUGCUCAGUUGACUGUAAAUAAUCAAGAUACGUUAGGAAACUACUCAGACUCCACAUCACUGAUUUCUCUACCACCACCAAACUGAUCU
Pelodiscus sinensis (Chinese soft-shelled turtle) is the source of this 1453-nucleotide non-coding RNA. The record is from RefSeq and is a predicted model, not a curated record. NCBI's taxonomy places the organism in Eukaryota, Metazoa, Chordata, Testudines, Trionychidae.